Molecule: long non-coding RNA, 1812 nt
Filed under: Citrus x clementina
Lineage: Eukaryota; Viridiplantae; Streptophyta; Magnoliopsida; Sapindales; Rutaceae
Description: Citrus clementina (C. clementina) long non-coding RNA (CCLE_LNC005029)
Source: RNAcentral
AAUUGCAAAAAAAUAACAAUUAAAUAAAACUAUUUUGAGCAUGAUUUUUGUGCAGGUAAAACAUCAUGAAUUUUCUGCAGAAUAGCAAAUAGUAAUAAAAUAAACUAUUUUUGCUGUCAUUUUUCCUUUAACAUCAACAUGAAUUUCAUUGUAAAAACAAGUUGUUUGCUGUAAAAUAGUAAAAACCAACAAAAAAAUUCAAAGAGUAAGAUGUACCUUCAAUAACCUUGCAAUUGCCUUGGCUUGGUCCUUACUAAUAGGCCUACUUUGAUCUUGCCUUUCACCUAGAUCUAAACAAUUAUCUCUAUUAGAUUAUUGUUGAUUUAGUAGAAAUUGAGAUCCAUUGAUUUCCUUCAUGAAUUCUUCUCUAAAUUUGAUCAUUCUCUGUAUGAAAAUCUUAUUUUCUUUUUCUUCAAAAAUAUCAUCUAUAUCCAUUGCUAUGGAUUUUUGUUUUUCCCUUCCAAAAGAUUGAUGUUAUUGCAAGCAAACCGAGCUUGAAGAUUCCACUAUCCAAGCCUUACAAUACAAGGCUUCAAGAAGUUUACAAUUGACUUCCAAGGUGUCAAUAAACCUUUUCAAUGCAAAAUGAACACAUUUUUUCUUAACAUGUGUUUCCCACACUAACAAACACUCACUUUUGAAAUAUAACAAUCAAUUUUACAAAGUUACUCUUUUUAAAAUUAUAUAGGCAGAUGAUAGCUCAAAAGUUAUAUCAAUGAAUAUGUGUAAGCAAAUGAGAGCUCAAAAUGCUUUCAAAUCCUGAUAAAGAUUACAAAAAUUCGUAUUUGAAAUGAGUUUUCCUCAUUUAUUUAUAGAUUGAACAAUAAAGUUGGCAGUUAUUGACUUUUUGGGCAUAACCAAUUUAACCUUUUUCUUGAAAUGGUUUGCCAUUUGCUUAUCUGGCAAGUUACCGUUAUGCCUGAAUUGGAAAUUUUUACAUAUUUAGUUUGCCACUUGUAAGAUAUCAAUUUAUUGUUUGACCCUAGAGAGUCAUUUAGAUACAAUUGGUUUGCCAUGUAGAUUCCAAAGAGUCACUGACUAAAGCCGGUUUGCCUCUUGCAAGUAAUUGGUUUGCUGUUUGAUUCUAAAGAAUCAUCCAUCUAAAUAACAAGAAUUGCUAGAUCUGUAUAACCUAGUCCAUUGUUCUCUAUGUCCUAGUCACUUUAUCAUCCAUGUCUAGAGAAAAGCAUGGCUUAUUGUUUAGUGUGUUAAGCACUUAUGUUUUAUCUCAAAAAUAAAUCUAAAUGAACUUGGCAUGAAAAAUAUAAUUUGAACUCCAAAUAUAUUUCACCUUGGUCAAGGAUUUCUCAUGCCAAUCUAUAUUAUCUUACAAGGGACAUCCUUUUGUUUAUUAUAAAGUGAUGAAUUCCAUAUCAAUAAUACACUUGUCUCAACAUGUAGGCAACCAUGACAACUAUUGCUAGAUGUCUUUCUUAAAUAGGAAUCAAUCCUUAUGCUUGCACAUAUCACAGAUGUCUAUGUACAAGACAUCUGUGAUGCCUCAUGUCUAAAGAUCAUUGCUAAACAUACUGCCUAUUACAAUAUGGCUUACUAUUAUUUGGGCAUUAACACUCAAAGUCAUAUGGCUUACUAUUAUUUGGUCAUGUUCAGUAAACAUGUUGUUGCAACAAGUGCCUAUGUGUUUGACUUGACAUCACAUGUCAAUGAUAUGAAACUCACCAUCCAUUUUAGUAUCACAUAUCAUAAAAGAGUCAUAACACAUACUAGUGUUUAAAGGAAUUUUUUAUGUCUAAUCAUAAAUCCACCACUAGGAACUAUUUUAGAAGUAUAGUACAAAGGAUACGUGUGUCA